CGUGAUUUGGUAAGCAAAUUUUGUCUGUUUUUAAUAAUUUUUAUGUUUUGAGAUCGUUGCAACUAGUUCCAACUAACCCGUACCUUCGUUUCUAAUUCUGUUAAAAAUUUUAGAAGUUGUCAUUGAUAAAUAUUAGAUGUUUUUUUUAUAAAAAACAUGAAUUUGGAGCUUUGAUUGUGUUGUGUGAUGAUUUUAUGAAGUGAUUUUUUGUUAAAUAUUGACUUCAGGAUUAAAUUGUAAAAAUGUAAAAAUAUUAGGUUUGAUAGUGAAUUUUAGGUUUAUUAGGGCUGUAUAAGGGCAUAUAAUAUUUGGAUAGAUUAUUGAUUUGAUAAAAUUAGUUAAUUUGAUAGAUUAACUAAUUAAGGGAUUAAAUUGUAAAAACUGUAAAAGUUUAGGGUAAUUAUGUAAAUUUGAAAAAUAAAAGGGUAUUGAUUGUAAAAUGGAUUGGAAAUGAAAUAUAUGCUAAUAAAUGAGUAAUUUUAUAUUUUAGAUUAAGAUCCCGUGGAUACUUGUGGAAAAUGAAAAAUAGCGAAAUAGUUCCUGAACUUCUGCAAUUACUACAAUUCAGUCCAGGUAAGUUCGUAUGGUUAAAAUUUAAUAGUUGUAUAAAUUUAUGAUUUUUAUUAUGUAUAUAUUCUAUUUUUGGAAAUGAAUUAUUGUUUGAAUUAUAAUAUUGAAUUGGAUAUUCGGUUUGAAUUGAACGCGAGAUUUGAGUACAUUCGUGAUUUGGUGUAUGAUAGGGGUUUGGAGUGGAGCUGGUAUUGGAAGGAGAUAUCGGCAUUUUACUCAAGUAAACUGGGGUUCAGCAUUUGUUGCGAGCUCUCGUAUUUUACUUUCUAUUUGGCGUAAUUGGGUGGAUCAACUCUUACAAGCUCCUGUUCAGCUCUUACGAGCUUCUAUUCAGCUCUUAUGAGUUUUUGUUCACCUUUCGAGCUUCUGUUGGCGUAUUCAGGAGGACCAGCUCUUAUGAGCUUCUGUUGACGAUGUACUCUUAUCCGUAAGUCGUUCUUCGAAUGGAAAAAUCUUGGUAAGGU
Molecule: long non-coding RNA, 1034 nt
Filed under: Gossypium barbadense (sea-island cotton)
Lineage: Eukaryota; Viridiplantae; Streptophyta; Magnoliopsida; Malvales; Malvaceae
Description: long non-coding RNA (GBAR_LNC013961)
Source: RNAcentral